GGGGUGACCGCGUGCUUUUUGCAUAAUGAGCUCGGGAGUUAGCCUCUGUGGCGAGCCUAAGGCCUAACGGGCCGGAGGCGGAGCGAAAGCGAGUCUGAAUAGGGCGCUGAGUCGAUGGGGCUAGACGCGAAACCCGUGUGAUCUACCCAUGGCCAGGGUGAAGUGGGGGUAAGACCCCAUGGAGGCCCGAACCCGUAUUCGUUGAAAAGAAUUGGGAUGAGCUGUGGGGAGGAGUCAAAGUCUAAUCAUACCUGGAUAUAUCUCGUUCUCCUCGAAAUAGUUUUUGGGCUAGCCUCACGUUACGGCGUUAAGGGGUAGAGCUACUGAUUGGGGCUGGGGGGCUACCCGCCUACCCACCCCAACCAAACUCCGAAUACUUAACGUUUUUGUCGUGGGAGUCAGACCGCGGGGGAUAAUCUUCGUGGUCGAGAGGGAAACAACCCAGACCGCCAGCUAAGGUCCCAAAGUUACAGCUAAGUGGGAAACGAAGUGGGAAGGCACAGACAGCCAGGAGGUUGGCUUAGAAGCAGCCACCCUUUAAAGAAAGCGUAAUAGCUCACUAGUCGAGUC
RNAcentral lists this ribosomal RNA (570 nucleotides) under Isochrysis galbana. Its description in RNAcentral is "partial Bacterial large subunit ribosomal RNA". It matches the Rfam family "Bacterial large subunit ribosomal RNA", at positions 590 to 1155 of the family's 2925-position model. Lineage: Eukaryota; Haptophyta; Isochrysidales; Isochrysidaceae. The record is from RNAcentral.